UGAUGUUAGCUCAGACGGUAGAGCAUCGUUCUACAUAUACGAAGGUCGCGGGUUCGAAUCCCAGCCGCGGUCAA
This 74-nucleotide transfer RNA is filed under the name Paramuricea clavata. RNAcentral describes it as "tRNA-Cys". The record is from RNAcentral. Lineage: Eukaryota; Metazoa; Cnidaria; Anthozoa; Malacalcyonacea; Plexauridae.